This 723-nucleotide ribosomal RNA is filed under the name uncultured eukaryote. Its description in RNAcentral is "bacterial SSU rRNA". It matches the Rfam family "Eukaryotic small subunit ribosomal RNA", at positions 1034 to 1657 of the family's 1831-position model. The record is from RNAcentral.
AAACGAUGCCACCAGCGAUCAUCCUGAGUUGAUUUCUUAAUGACUCGGGUGGAAGCUUCCGGGAAACCAAAGUCUUUGGGUUCCGGGGGAAGUAUGGUUGCAAAGCUGAAACUUAAAGGAAUUGACGGAAGGGCACCACCAGGAGUGGAGCCUGCGGCUUAAUUUGACUCAACACGGGAAAACUCACCCGGCCCGGACACUGAGAGGAUUGACAGAUUGAGAGCUCUUUCUUGAUUCAGUGGGUGGUGGUGCAUGGCCGUUCUUAGUUGGUGGAGCGAUUUGUCUGGUUAAUUCCGAUAACGAACGAGACUCUAGCCUACUAAAUAGACUUGCGGUUUACACUGCAGUACUCCCCCUUGGUUGGCCUCUAGGGGUUGCAGUAUCUUGUGAGGGGUUCGCCUUUUGCAAGCUCUGCUGUUGACUUACCUAGGGGAUUCUCCAGGGUAGGGAUGCUGUAGCACCGUAAGGACUUCUUAGAGGGACAAGCGGCGUCCGCAGCCGCACGAAACAGAGCAAUAACAGGUCUGUGAUGCCCUUAGAUGUCCGGGGCCGCACGCGCGCUACACUGAAGUGGCCAUCGUGCUUAAGCAUUCCUGCUCCGAAAGGAGUGGGUAACCGCUUGAACCCAUUUCGUGAUGGGGAUUGGGCAUUGUAAUUAUUGCCCAUGAACGAGGAAUUCCCAGUAAGCGUGAGUCAUUAGCUUGCGUUGAUUACGUCCCUGCC